This 503-nucleotide ribosomal RNA is filed under the name uncultured bacterium. RNAcentral describes it as "partial 16S ribosomal RNA". It matches the Rfam family "Bacterial small subunit ribosomal RNA", at positions 28 to 523 of the family's 1533-position model. The record is from RNAcentral.
GAUGAACGCUAGCGGCAGGCCUAACACAUGCAAGUCGAGGGGUAGCAGGAUUAAGCUUGCUUAAUUGCUGACGGCCGGCGCACGGGUGCGUAACGCGUAUGCAACCUACCUUAUACUGGGGUAUAGCCCGGAGAAAUUCGGAUUAAUCCCCCAUAGUACUAAUGAAUCGCAUGGUUUAUUAGUUAAAGCAUUGCGGUAUAAGAUGGGCAUGCGUCCUAUUAGCUAGAUGGUGAGGUAACGGCUCACCAUGGCUACGAUAGGUAGGGGGCCUGAGCGGGUGGUCCCCCACACUGGUACUGAGACACGGACCAGACUCCUACGGGAGGCAGCAGUGAGGAAUAUUGGUCAAUGGGCGCAAGCCUGAACCAGCCAUGCCGCGUGCAGGAAGAAUGCCCUAUGGGUUGUAAACUGCUUUUAUUUGGGAAUAAACCUCUUUACGUGUAGAGAGCUGAAGGUACCAAAUGAAUAAGCACCGGCUAACUCCGUGCCAGCCGCCGCGGUAA